Molecule: ribosomal RNA, 802 nt
Filed under: uncultured bacterium
Lineage: Bacteria
Description: bacterial SSU rRNA
Rfam family: Bacterial small subunit ribosomal RNA
Source: RNAcentral
AGAGUUUGAUCCUGGCUCAGGACGAACGCUGGCGGCGCGCUUAAUACAUGCAAGUCGAGCGAGAACCAUGGCUUCGGCCAUGGGGACAGCGGCGAACGGGUGAGUAACACGUGGGUAAUCAACCCCCGACACCGGGAUAGCCCAGGGAAACUUGGAUUAAUACCGGAUACCCCAUCCGGCUUUCGAGCCGGCUGGAAAAGGGUAGCUUUGGCCUCUGGUCGGGGACGAGCCCGCGGCGGAUUAGCUUGUUGGUGAGGUAAAAGCUCACCAAGGCGACGAUCCGUAGCUGGUCUGAGAGGACGAUCAGCCACACUGGGACUGAGACACGGCCCAGACUCCUACGGGAGGCAGCAGUAGGGAAUCUUGCGCAAUGGGCGAAAGCCUGACGCAGCGACGCCGCGUGAGGGAAGAAGGCCUUAGGGUUGUAAACCUCUUUCAGGAGGGACGAAGCCACUCGGGUUAAUAGCCCAGAGGGUGACGGUACCUCCAGAAGAAGCCCCGGCUAACUACGUGCCAGCAGCCGCGGUAAUACGUAGGGGGCAAGCGUUGUCCGGAUUUAUUGGGCGUAAAGAGCGUGUAGGCGGCCUUACAGGUCAGCUGUGAAAACUCGAGGCUCAACCUCGAGACGUCGGUUGAAACCGUAUGGCUAGAGUCCGGAAGAGGAGAGUGGAAUUCCCGGUGUAGCGGUGAAAUGCGCAGAUAUCGGGAAGAACACCCGUGGCGAAGGCGGCUCUCUGGGACGGUACUGACGCUGAGACGCGAAAGCGUGGGGAGCGAACAGGAUUAGAUACCCCGGUAGUCC